This 209-nucleotide unclassified non-coding RNA is filed under the name Hevea brasiliensis (rubber tree). The record is from RNAcentral. Lineage: Eukaryota; Viridiplantae; Streptophyta; Magnoliopsida; Malpighiales; Euphorbiaceae.
UUUCUAGUGGUGUAGGACGCAAAGAAAGUUGCUAUUAAGCCAGCCAAGUACAGUGACGAGGUGAACAAUUGCAAGCCUUGAUUAUCAUACUUGCAGUAGUUGCUAUUGAUUGUGGGAUCCUGCGUCUUCCUGUACACAGUUGGGAAGAAUUUUUUCAAGAAAUCGGGCAUCGAUGUGACCCCCCCUGAAACUCCAACGUCGUAACCAAA